UUAAGUUCAGCGGGUAUUCCUACCUGAUCCGAGGUCAACCUUGAUAAGUUUGGGUGUUUCACGGCCGGAACCCACAACCACGUCCUAGCGAAGAUAUACUACUACGCUCGGUAUGAUAGCGAGCCCGCCACUGCUUUUCGGGGGUGCGGACGGCCGCAGGGCCCCAACACAAGCCUAGGGCUUGAUGGUUGAAAUGACGC
Molecule: unclassified non-coding RNA, 200 nt
Filed under: Sordariales sp.
Lineage: Eukaryota; Fungi; Ascomycota; Sordariomycetes; Sordariales
Description: partial internal transcribed spacer 2
Source: RNAcentral